GGAGAUCCCUCCUUUGGAGUUUUCUAGCAAGCCUCGGAUAAGGGGCUGAACAGAAUUUUCCUGUUCUCAUUUGUGCAAGUUGGAGAUGUUGCAGCUCAGAUCACCAACUAAGAAUGCAGGAAUUCUGCCACUGGAUCCAAUUUCACUAGAGUUCCAAGGUAGAUAAGAUUGGAGAAAUAGAAAGAUUUUGGUCCAGCUUCUUUGUUCAAGAUCACAGCGGAGGGGCAGUGUGACAAAAUGGAGCCUGACAUGGAAGUAUGUGUGAAGCAAAGAUGUGUAAUUGAAUUCCUUCAUGCAAAUAAAAUGGCACCCACUGACACUGCUAGAUGCUUGCUGUACAUUUAUGGAAAUUGCAAAGUGAAUACUGACACAAUGUGGGGUGAGUGGUGAAACACAGUGAAACAGUGGUUCAGCUCUGCUGGUGCAAAAUUUUAUGAGCAUAAUAUGUAGGCUCUUGUUCAUUGCUGGGGAAAACACAGAGCUAAUGAUGGUGACUAUGUUGAAAAAUAGUGUGUUAUAGCUGAGAAUUUGAUUUAUCAAAUAGUGUUAUUGAGCUCUUUGUAUCUGUUGUAGUUUCCAUGAACAUAAGGCAUUACUCUUGGAGUGCCCUACAUGUGUUAUAAUAAAUCAGUCCUUGACAUAUGAAAUGACAGACAUCUCUGAAUUGCUCUGAAAACCACAUCUGAGUCAAAGCUAUGAAAAUAUGAUUUGAUCGUAAAGCCACUGCAGAUUUUUUCUAUCUAUAGUGAGUUUUUCAGAUUUCUUUAAUGUGUAAAGAUUCAGAGUUAAAGGGAAUUUAAUUAGCAUCAAUUUCAUUCCCUAAAAUUAGAUAAAAUAUCAUUUUACUGUAAUGUGUAAAACAGACUGCAGUCUUAAUGUUACUAAUAAAAUGGUUUGUAAUGGAUGCAGUGUCAGUUGACCCUGUGAACUCAAAAUACCUGUAUGACAUCUAUGAGCUGUAAGAAAACAUUACUUGGAAUAAAUGGCAUAUAAAUCCCUGCAAAGCCUUAACAAAAAGUCAGUCUCUGAAAACACAAAAAAUAGACUUAGUAGGUUUUAUAUUGUUGGUAAUAACAGGUAUAUUUUUAAUAAAAUGAGA
Molecule: non-coding RNA, 1099 nt
Organism: Phasianus colchicus (ring-necked pheasant)
Lineage: Eukaryota; Metazoa; Chordata; Aves; Galliformes; Phasianidae
Source: RefSeq, a predicted model, not a curated record